RNAcentral lists this non-coding RNA (20 nucleotides) under Arabidopsis thaliana (thale cress). Lineage: Eukaryota; Viridiplantae; Streptophyta; Magnoliopsida; Brassicales; Brassicaceae. The record is from RNAcentral.
CACAAGAGUGUCAUGAUGCC